RNAcentral lists this small RNA (27 nucleotides) under Bombyx mori (domestic silkworm). RNAcentral describes it as "ovarian small RNA-33798". Lineage: Eukaryota; Metazoa; Arthropoda; Insecta; Lepidoptera; Bombycidae. The record is from RNAcentral.
UGCCGGUGGUGACUUGAUAGGGUCCGA